UCCGUAUUCAUCACCACCGCCGUU
RNAcentral lists this non-coding RNA (24 nucleotides) under Arabidopsis thaliana (thale cress). Lineage: Eukaryota; Viridiplantae; Streptophyta; Magnoliopsida; Brassicales; Brassicaceae. The record is from RNAcentral.